CGGUAAUACGGGAGUGGCAAGCGUUAUCCGGAAUUAUUGGGCGUAAAGCGUCCGCAGGCGGUUUUACAAGUCUGUCGUUAAAACGUGGAGCUCAACUCCAUUUCGGCGAUGGAAACUGUAAGACUAGAGUGUGGUAGGGGCAGAGGGAAUUCCCGGUGUAGCGGUGAAAUGCGUAGAUAUCGGGAAGAACACCAGUGGCGAAGGCGCUCUGCUGGGCCAUAACUGACGCUCAUGGACGAAAGCUAGGGGAGCGAAAGGGAUUAGAUACCCCUGUAGUCCUAGCCGUAAACGAUGAACACUAGGUGUCGGGGGAAUCGACCCCCUCGGUGUCGUAGCCAACGCGUUAAGUGUUCCGCCUGGGGAGUACGCACGCAAGUGUGAAACUCAAAGGAAUUGG
This 397-nucleotide ribosomal RNA is filed under the name uncultured bacterium. RNAcentral describes it as "bacterial SSU rRNA". It matches the Rfam family "Bacterial small subunit ribosomal RNA", at positions 518 to 913 of the family's 1533-position model. The record is from RNAcentral.